This 1239-nucleotide ribosomal RNA is filed under the name metagenome. RNAcentral's name for it is "bacterial LSU rRNA". It matches the Rfam family "Bacterial large subunit ribosomal RNA", at positions 1564 to 2813 of the family's 2925-position model. The record is from RNAcentral.
UGAAUACGAGAUGCUACGGCGUCGAAGCAGUCUAUGUCAUACUUCCAAGAAAAGCUCGCACUGUCAUAAACAAAUAAUGCCUGUACCAUAACCGACACAGGUGGGUAGGUAGAGUAUACUAAGGGGCGCGAGAUAACUCUCUCUAAGGAACUCGGCAAAAUGACUCCGUAACUUCGGGAGAAGGAGUGCCUUAUUUAUAAGGUUGCAAUAACAAGAUCCAAGCAACUGUUUAUCAAAAACACAGGUCUCCGCUAAGUCGUAAGACGAUGUAUGGGGGCUGACGCCUGCCCAGUGCCAGAAGGUUAAAGAAGUUGGUUAGCAUUCGCGAAGCUGAUAACUGAAGCCCUGGUGAACGGCGGCCGUAACCAUAACGGUCCUAAGGUAGCGAAAUUCCUUGUCGGGUAAGUUCCGACCCGCACGAAAGGCGUAAUGAUUUGGAUACUGUCUCGGAGAGGGGCUCGGUGAAAUAGACUUGUCUGUGAAGAUGCGGACUACCUGCACCAGGACAGAAAGACCCUAUGAAGCUUUACUGUAACUUGAGAUUGAAAUUGGACUUUACUUGCGCAGUAUAGGUGGGAGGCGUUGAUAACAUUCUUGCGGGAUUAUUUGAGCCAUCAGUGAGAUACCACUCUUGUAAUGUUAGAUUUCUAACUUUGUAUCAUUAUCUGGUCAAAGGACAGUUUCAGGCGGGCAGUUUGACUGGGGCGGUCGCCUCCUAAGCGGUAACGGAGGCGCACAAAGGUUUCCUCUGAACGGGUAGAAAUCGUAUCUAGAGUGUAAAGGCAUAAGGAAGCUUGACUGUGAGACCUACAAGUCGAGCAGGGACGAAAGUCGGUCUUAGUGAUCUGACGGUGCUGAGUGGAAAGGCCGUCACUCAACGGAUAAAAGUUACUCUAGGAUAACAGGCUGAUCUCCCCCAAGCGUUCACAUCGACGGGGAGGUUUGGCACCUCGAUGUCGGCUCAUCGCAUCCUGGGGCGGUAGUACGUCCCAAGGGUUGGGCUGUUCGCCCAUGAAAGCGGUACGCGAGCUGGGUUCAGAACGUCGUGAGACAGUUCGGUCCAUAUCCGGUGUAGGCGUUAGAAUAUUGAGAGGAGCCUUCUUUAGUACGAGAGGACCGAGAAGGACAUACCUCUGGUGUACCAGUUAUCGUGCCAACGGUAAACGCUGGGUAGCUAUGUAUGGAGUGGAUAACCGCUGAAAGCAUCUAAGUGGGAAGCCCACCUCAAGAUAAGUAUUC